AGAGUUUGAUCCUGGCUCAGAUUGAACGCUGGCGGCAGGCUUAACACAUGCAAGUCGAACGGUAGCAGGAAGAAAGCUUGCUUUCUUUGCUGACGAGUGGCGGACGGGUGAGUAAUGCUUGGGAAUCUGGCUUAUGGAGGGGGAUAACUGUGGGAAACUGCAGCUAAUACCGCGUAUUCUCUGAGGAGGAAAGGGUGGGACCUUAGGGCCACCUGCCAUAAGAUGAGCCCAAGUGGGAUUAGGUAGUUGGUGGGGUAAAGGCCUACCAAGCCUGCGAUCUCUAGCUGGUCUGAGAGGAUGACCAGCCACACUGGAACUGAGACACGGUCCAGACUCCUACGGGAGGCAGCAGUGGGGAAUAUUGCGCAAUGGGGGGAACCCUGACGCAGCCAUGCCGCGUGAAUGAAGAAGGCCUUCGGGUUGUAAAGUUCUUUCGGUAAUGAGGAAGGGAUGUUGUUAAAUAGAUAGCAUCAUUGACGUUAAUUACAGAAGAAGCACCGGCUAACUCCGUGCCAGCAGCCGCGGUAAUACGGAGGGUGCGAGCGUUAAUCGGAAUAACUGGGCGUAAAGGGCACGCAGGCGGACUUUUAAGUGAGAUGUGAAAUCCCCGAGCUUAACUUGGGAACUGCAUUUCAGACUGGGAGUCUAGAGUACUUUAGGGAGGGGUAGAAUUCCACGUGUAGCGGUGAAAUGCGUAGAGAUGUGGAGGAAUACCGAAGGCGAAGGCAGCCCCUUGGGAAUGUACUGACGCUCAUGUGCGAAAGCGUGGGGAGCAAACAGGAUUAGAUACCCUGGUAGUCCACGCUGUAAACGCUGUCGAUUUGGGGAUUGGGCUAUAUGCUUGGUGCCCGAAGCUAACGUGAUAAAUCGACCGCCUGGGGGAGUACGGCCGCAAGGUUAAAACUCAAAGGAAUUGACGG
This 920-nucleotide ribosomal RNA is filed under the name uncultured bacterium. RNAcentral describes it as "bacterial SSU rRNA". It matches the Rfam family "Bacterial small subunit ribosomal RNA", at positions 8 to 916 of the family's 1533-position model. The record is from RNAcentral.